RNAcentral lists this long non-coding RNA (319 nucleotides) under Schistocerca americana (American grasshopper). Its description in RNAcentral is "uncharacterized LOC124606039, transcript variant X1". Lineage: Eukaryota; Metazoa; Arthropoda; Insecta; Orthoptera; Acrididae. The record is from RNAcentral.
UGAGAACGGAGUGCUGACAACGCUGUUGUAGAAAGACCGUCGAAGACUCGUAGGACUUUGACAUAACAAUGGUACAUGACGCUAAUCGGGAGAGUUGUUCGCGUUAGCAGCAUCGUAAGGUGCGGCUUCGCUAACAAAGCGGAGAAUGAUUCGCUUCAGUAUUACAUUUCUGUUGCUAAGCAUGUGUAUGAUUUUGUCAGUGGAAUGUCAAGCCUGGAAUUCAAAACUAAACAGACAGGGAUUCAGAGGUUACUAUGGUGAUCGAGGAUUUGAAGAGACAACACAGGCACCAAAAAGAAAUAACAACCACAAUAAUAAU